RNAcentral lists this ribosomal RNA (250 nucleotides) under uncultured bacterium. Its description in RNAcentral is "partial 16S ribosomal RNA". It matches the Rfam family "Bacterial small subunit ribosomal RNA", at positions 73 to 334 of the family's 1533-position model. The record is from RNAcentral.
AAAGCCUUCGGGUGAGUACAGCGGCGGACGGGUGAGUAACACGUAGGAAUUUGCCCAGUAGUGGGGGAUAACGUUUCGAAAGGAACGCUAAUACCGCAUACGCCCUACGGGGGAAAGGGGGCUUCGGCUCUCGCUAUUGGAGAAGCCUGCGUCGGAUUAGCUAGUUGGUGGGGUAAAGGCCUACCAAGGCGACGAUCCGUAGCUGGUCUGAGAGGAUGAUCAGCCACAUCGGGACUGAGACACGGCCCGA